GACUGGGAGGCGUUUUACAGUCAGGAAAAAGGUAUGACUGGUCGAAAGCUUGCAUUUGAUGGGCGUCUACGGGCGGACGGGUGAUUAACGCGUAUCCAACCUGCCCACCACUUGGGGAUAACCUUGCGAAAGUAAGACUAAUACCCAAUGACGUCUCUAGAAGACAUCUGAAAGAGAUUAAAGAUUUAUCGGUGAUGGAUGGGGAUGCGUCUGAUUAGCUUGUUGGCGGGGUAACGGCCCACCAAGGCGACGAUCAGUAGGGGUUCUGAGAGGAAGGUCCCCCACAUUGGAACUGAGACACGGUCCAAACUCCUACGGGAGGCAGCAGUGAGGAAUAUUGGUCAAUGGACGAGAGUCUGAACCAGCCAAGUAGCGUGCAGGAUGACGGCCCUAUGGGUUGUAAACUGCUUUUAUAAGGGAAUAAAGUGAGCCUCGUGAGGCUUUUUGCAUGUACCUUAUGAAUAAGGACCGGCUAAUUCCGUGCCAGCAGCCGCGGUAAUACGGAAGGUCCGGGCGUUAUCCGGAUUUAUUGGGUUUAAAGGGAGCGUAGGCCGGAGAUUAAGCGUGUUGUGAAAUGUAGACGCUCAACGUCUGCACUGCAGCGCGAACUGGUUUCCUUGAGUACGCACAAAGUGGGCGGAAUUCGUGGUGUAGCGGUGAAAUGCUUAGAUAUCACGAAGAACUCCGAUUGCGAAGGCAGCUCACUGGAGCGCAACUGACGCUGAAGCUCGAAAGUGCGGGUAUCGAACAGGAUUAGAUACCCUGGUAGUCCGCACGGUAAACGAUGGAUGCCCGCUGUUGGUCUGAAUAGGUCAGCGGCC
Molecule: ribosomal RNA, 821 nt
Filed under: uncultured bacterium
Lineage: Bacteria
Description: bacterial SSU rRNA
Rfam family: Bacterial small subunit ribosomal RNA
Source: RNAcentral